UAUUUGAACCAGGUUUGAUCUUUAUUUCCCGUUUUAUCAUUCAUGCCCUGACUUUUGCAUAAGAUUUUUCAUUUUUAAUUCAUUUCAGUACUUGGUGUUAUCAAAGAGGAUUGGAUAUAUUGGAUAUAAGCAUUGGGCCUAUACUUGCUGCAGUUAAGAAGGAUGUGGGGGAAUCUCGUUGAAACGUACUCUAUAGUGAAAGGCCUGGAUAGAGUGAAAAUGGAGAGGGUGUUUCCACUAGUGGGAGAGUCUAGGAUCAGGGGCCAUAGUCUCAGAAUGAAAGGACGUACCUGAGGAGGAAUUUAUUUAGUCAGAGGGUGGUGCAUCUAUGGAAUUCAUUGCCACAGAUGGCUGUGGAGGCCAAUUUUGGGGUAUUUUUAGAGCACAGAUUGACAGAUUCUUGGUUAGUAUGGGUGUCAGGGGUUACGGGGAGAAGGCAGGAGAAUGGGGUUGAGAGGGAAAAAUAGAUCAGCCAUGAUUGAAUGGCAGAGUAGACUUGAUGGGUCGAAUGGCCUACUUCUGCUCCUAUAACUCUUGAACUUAUAUCACAUAGGGAGAUGUUUGACAGAACGAAUAUACCAUCUGAUUAAACUCGUGAAAUUAAAUCUUUGGCAGAGAAUUCAUCGAUAGAGCAUCACGCCAGUCGUCUUUGUGUGAAAAUCAUUGCUUGAUUCACUUUCCAAAUGAUUUUGGCGAACAAAUGAGUCUUUCGUUUCUAUCAAACUGAAAUGAAAAUCUCAGAAUAUAAUGAAAUUUAGUAAGUUCCCUCCUCAGCACUGAUUGAUCACUGGGCUUAACAGGAAUUUCAGUAAAUCUUCCAUUUGAUUGACCCACCUAAUGUGCCAGUAUUGAUUGAAACAAAUAAAUUACUAAUUAAGCUGCUCUACCAAAGUCACGCUCUGUCAAAUAUUGUCUGAGUUUUGCCAUCCAGCUUGGAAUCAUGCAAGGUAAAGGCACAAUUUUACUUCGAAGUCACGUGAGUGACUACGUGAAGAAGGGCCGUCCGUCUGCGUGCGCGUCAUUACGUCUGAACGCAACACGCACGACGGACUGGCAGGCAUUGAGCCUCCCAGGCCGUCGGGAUGAGCAGGCACCAGAAGACAAACCAUCUGGUUCUCCUGCACUUUAUUGCCUAUAAUUUAACUAUCGACACUCAGCUAAAGUGAAGUUGAGAAUUAAACUUCAGUUCAAGAGGAAUUCACCGUAAAGUCCCAUUUAGCCAAUUAACCUACAAACAUGCACGUCUUUCGAAUGUGGGAGAAACACGGAGAACUGUGUAAAAAGACCAAGUUUGAUCUCUGCAAGGCUUCAGGGUUACCAAGACGGACUUACAAAAGAAGUUGGAUGCUCAGUUUAAUCAAAAGGAUGCCAGGCAACUGUGGCAGUGCCUGAAUACCAUUGCGGGCUGCAAGCUGAAGACAGGGAUGCUCUAUGGCAAUCAUGCUUCUUCCCUAAUGCAUUUUGAACAGGCAAGCUGCACCUCAGCACAUUCCCUCAUCCCCCACUGUGGGGAAGAAGCUGUCCCUCAGGAAGAUUGGAAGUAUUGUUAAGGAUGCCUGUUGCAAGGACCAUUCCAUUUUCUCACUUCUACUUCUGGGAGAAGAUACAGGAACUUGACAGCUUGGACAUCCAGAGUUAGGAACAGGUUCUUCCCCACUCCUGAAUCAAUAACUUAUUUCACACCCAAUUCCCGGAAAGGCAGUUAUGUACUCUUACCUCGAUCUCAUUGGUUAUCCCAUUUUUGUACUUACAUCUUUUUUCCACUACUUGAAUUUUGCUCUACAAUCUUGCACCAUUCUGUUGUUUUGAAGUCAUCGUUGUAUUUAUUGCUGUAUUUAUCAUCUGCAGUUCAUUAUUCCUGUAUUUGGGAAGAGCCUUAUUAUUGAAAUAGAGGCAGAUUGUUCUAAUAACUAGGAAGUGUUUGAGUUAGACUUCUGAAGCACUUUUUCCAAAACUAGUAUCUCUCACCUCUGUGACAAGAACAACUUGUGUACAGUCAUAAAAAUUGUUGUUUACUGUUAUUAUUAUUUAAGAAUGAAUAAAUGUGAUCUCACAUUGUUGAAAAUAACAUCAACUAUAUCUUCCAAAUUGGCAUGUUUGUAGGUUGGCCGUUCCACGCAGGAACAAUAAUAAAA
Molecule: long non-coding RNA, 2135 nt
Organism: Leucoraja erinaceus (little skate)
Lineage: Eukaryota; Metazoa; Chordata; Chondrichthyes; Rajiformes; Rajidae
Exons: 4
Source: RefSeq, a predicted model, not a curated record